GCUCUUAUAUGGUAAAUUUGCUUCUGUGGCCUGAGUCCAGAACACAUCCUAGUCUUCUCUGGAGAGAAGCAGAGUCAGGGGAAGGAAGAGAUUUUGUAAUGUGGACAGUGUUCAGUGUUCAUUGCUGAGGAAUCGAGAGUCAGUUUGCAUUCGUCAUGGGCGGAGGACCCCGCAGCUGGUGGAAGGCCAGCAGCAGUGUAAAGCCCAGGAAAAAGACGUGUGAAUGAAGAACCCUUGAAAUUGACCCCAGCUGUAGGCACUCGCCACACUUGCCUCAAUCUCCUGGGAGACCCGGAGUCAGACUAGUUCAGCUCAGCUGCUCUCAAAUUCCUGGCCCGCAAAACCUGCAAGAGCUAAUAAACAACAUUGCUUUGCUGGAACCACAAGGAGGGGCUUUUUCUAAUACUGAUAGUCUGGAAAUCAACUGGCAUCAUAAUUCUAACAAGGAGGCAAGGUUUCAGUCUAUCAACCAGACUGGAGUUCAGAGAUGCCAUCAUAGCUCACUGAAGCCUUGAAUGCUUGGGGACAAGAGAUCUUUCUCCUUCAGCCUGUUGAGUAGCUGGGACUUCAGGUAUGUACCAGAAUGCCUGGCUAAUUUGAAUUAUUUUUUAUUUUUAUUUUGGUAGAGAUGAAUUUUCACUAUGUUGUCCAAGCUGGUCUGGAACUCCUGACUUUAAGUGUUCCUCUUGUCUUGACCUCCCAACUUGCUGGGAUUACAUGAGCUAGCAUGCCUAGCCUUGAUAUUUCUUUUUUAAAAAGGCACUUGUAUUGUCUAACACCUAUGGCUAGAGGAUGAACAUUUGGUCAAGGAUCAACAUUUGGCCUCUGAAUAUAAGUGUCUAUUUAGUUAAUCAAGAUGGGCAUCACAUUUCAGGA
RNAcentral lists this long non-coding RNA (876 nucleotides) under Callithrix jacchus (white-tufted-ear marmoset). RNAcentral describes it as "lncRNA (ENSCJAG00000071761.1)". The record is from RNAcentral. Lineage: Eukaryota; Metazoa; Chordata; Mammalia; Primates; Cebidae.